AUCCUUUUGUAGUUCAUAAGCAUGAUGAUUGGGUUUUCACGCGCAUGCGUGAGAUGUGCCUCCCACAAAUCUUGUUACGACGUCGGCACAUUACCCGUCUGACG
RNAcentral lists this small nucleolar RNA (104 nucleotides) under Propithecus coquereli (Coquerel's sifaka). RNAcentral's name for it is "Small nucleolar RNA U13 (ENSPCOG00000002871.1)". It matches the Rfam family "Small nucleolar RNA U13". Lineage: Eukaryota; Metazoa; Chordata; Mammalia; Primates; Indriidae. The record is from Rfam by way of RNAcentral.